This 1372-nucleotide long non-coding RNA is filed under the name Homo sapiens (human). RNAcentral describes it as "HSALNT0082162". Lineage: Eukaryota; Metazoa; Chordata; Mammalia; Primates; Hominidae. The record is from RNAcentral.
GAAAUGCACAACCUAUGGGAAAAAAACAGAUUCUACAUGGGAGUUUAUAGAACACCAAGAACGCAAUGCUUAAACGAUCAUGGCGGAUCUUUCAAUUAUCUGUAAAGUACAGAAUCCCCCCCUCCCAAAACGGUUGAAUAUUACAUUGGACAAAACUCACGUCCUUAAAAACACUUUAAUACAGGCAUCAUUAAACAUUUUAAGGGCUUCUUAAAAGCCUAAAUUAUUCUAUGAGUUUGUACCCUCUUUGGUUGCAGUGAAAGGACUGCAUUGUGUCACGGCACACCAAAUAUGUGUGAAUGGCAUAGAGUCAUCAAAAUCUGCUAGUGAACAGAAACGACAGGACAGAGCUUCAUUUCUCCUGCUGCCACCGCCUGGAGGCUUAUAAUCCAUCACAGUGAGGCGGUUUCCAUCCUGCACCCAGUCCACCUUUCACAGCGCCUUUGGAACAAACAUGGAAGGCACUGAGCGGGGGUCUGUGGACUGCGGAGGCAGGAGUGCUGCCCUGGAAAUGCUGGACGCCUUUGUCAGUGGGCAGGAUCAGCUGUCUUCCUAAUACUCUGCGAGGUCAAAGAGAAGCUACUGACAUUUUUGAUCAGACAAAGGGAAAAUGUUUGGAGAUUUUAAAAGUAGGAGACAAUGAUUUUGAAGGCAUGUGUAUGAUAAGAUGUGUAUGGGAACGUGGGAAGCAUCACGCAUCACAGAAGUGUGACUUUGAGAGUUUAGGCCAGACUGUUCUUCCACUGACUCAGUCUCAGGCAAGGUUCUCAGGCUAAUUUCAUUUGUUUGUCUUUCAUUUGCAAAACAGGAUAAUAAUGGUUACCUUGCAGGGCUGAUGAAUGGCUUAGAGAUCAUAUAUGACAGACUCAGGUGUCUAAGGCAACACUGGGCACAAAGAAGCCCUCCAUACAUAUUAACUAAUACACAGUUAAACACAAACAUAACAAGAAUACAAAUAUAUAAAUAUGCACACUUGGCUUAUGUACCUGACAAUCUUUUCCCACCUUCCCUCCAUUUCUAUCAAUGAUGUAAGACAGCAGUGACAAGAAUAAGUGUGAGCUCCCGAAUUUCUGGUGAGUGAUCAUCCCCAGAAAAGUGAGUAUCCACAACUAGUAUCUAGUGGACAUAUCAUACUCUUUAGGGCAGGUGGCUUAUUAAGGGUUGAAAAGAAAAAAAAAAACAACCCUAGUUGGUCAAGAUUUCUGUAAAAGUUACCUAGUGAAUGUAACCAGGAAAUCCAGCCACAUUUACAUGAGUGUUCUGAUUCAUUCUCCCCAGACAGAAUCCACAGGAACUCAGGUAACUUUGAUAAACUGUCCCCCAGUACGUUGGCUGAGUGACUGAAAGAUAAGCUUGCCUUUGGCCGGGCGCG